RNAcentral lists this unclassified non-coding RNA (343 nucleotides) under soil metagenome. Its description in RNAcentral is "partial contains 5.8S ribosomal RNA, internal transcribed spacer 2, and large subunit ribosomal RNA". The stretch from base 1 to 120 matches the Rfam family "5.8S ribosomal RNA", at positions 35 to 154 of the family's 154-position model. The record is from RNAcentral.
GAUGAAGAACGUAGCGAAAUGCGAUAAGUAAUGUGAAUUGCAGAGUCCAGUGAAUCAUCGAAUCUUUGAACGCACAUUGCGCCCGCCAGCAUUCUGGCGGGCAUGCCUGUUCGAGCGUCAUUUCAACCCUCGACCUCCCUUUGGGGAAGUCGGCGUUGGGGACCGGCAGCACACCGCCGGCCCUGAAAUGGAGUGGCGGCCCGUCCGCGGCGACCUCUGCGUAGUAAACCAACUCGCACCGGAACCCCGACGUGGCCACGCCGUAAAACACCCAACUUCUGAACGUUGACCUCGAAUCAGGUAGGACUACCCGCUGAACUUAAGCAUAUCAAUAAGCGGAGGA